AUAGUGUUAUAGUUAAAGGGAGAUAAGAAACGCAAUUAUUGACACUUUUAUAUAAACAUCUAUCAUGUUUAUUGAGAAAUUAACUAAACAUAGAAAAUACUGAAAUUCCCCAUUUUUUAUUAAUCUAAAACAAAAGAUACAAAGUGUAUAUAUAGAAGUAUAUAAUGUGCAAGUUAAUUGCUGACAAAACUAACAACCAACAAGUAAGGCUGGUAACUAACGAAACAGAUUAACUAAAUACAAGAUGAAUGAAAAUUCAAUAUCACUAAUAGCCCUCCAUGCUGGAUAAUGUAAGUUUAACAUUCCCAGCAUGGAAAAUAUAGCUAAAAUAAUAGCAGGCUCCAAUGGUUUAAUAAAUAGAUCGGCUAAUUGAUUAGAAGAGGUAAUUGGAAGAAGAUGAAAAUACUUAGAUGUUUUGUGCACUCAUGAAAGUUCAAAUUCAUUGCGAUGUGGAGAGUAGAGUUGUUGUCCCAGUACAACAAAGUAUGUGAGCCAAACCCCGCUGUUUCAGAAGAUGAACAUGAAAUAAUGGUUAGGUUCUUCAAACACCACAAAAUCUGGAUGAAAAUGGAUUCGACUUGGGAGAGAAAAGUUUUUAACAAAAAAUAUGAUCUUUGAAAAACACUAAAGUGAAGUUUAAAUAAGCACAUAAAAGAAAGAAAUCAAAACUUAGUUUUUAACGAAAGAUAGACAAAGAACAAUUUUUCAAAAGAACACGAGCAAUAAAAUCAAAGACAAGAUAACACAAAACAAGACAUAAGAUACGUAACGUGGAUAAGAAGUGGAUAAGAAGAGAGUACAUAAACACAAGAUGACAAGAAAAGUCAUAAAAGAAAACACAAACACACAAAAUGAUGUAAAACUAUUUUCUAGACACACAAGGACAAUGAAUAAGAUAAACAAGCAAAAACAUA
RNAcentral lists this long non-coding RNA (914 nucleotides) under Cicer arietinum (chickpea). RNAcentral describes it as "long non-coding RNA (CARI_LNC002068)". Lineage: Eukaryota; Viridiplantae; Streptophyta; Magnoliopsida; Fabales; Fabaceae. The record is from RNAcentral.